RNAcentral lists this ribosomal RNA (500 nucleotides) under uncultured bacterium. RNAcentral's name for it is "partial 16S ribosomal RNA". It matches the Rfam family "Bacterial small subunit ribosomal RNA", at positions 30 to 523 of the family's 1533-position model. The record is from RNAcentral.
AUUGAACGCUGGCGGCAUGCCUUACACAUGCAAGUCGAACGGCAGCACGGGAGCAAUCCUGGUGGCGAGUGGCGAACGGGUGAGUAAUGUAUCGGAACGUGCCCAGUCGUGGGGGAUAACGUAGCGAAAGCUACGCUAAUACCGCAUACGAUCUAUGGAUGAAAGCGGGGGAUCGCAAGACCUCGCGCGAUUGGAGCGGCCGAUAUCAGAUUAAGUAGUUGGUGGGGUAAAGGCUCACCAAGCCGACGAUCUGUAGCUGGUCUGAGAGGAUGACCAGCCACACUGGGACUGAGACACGGCCCAGACUCCUACGGGAGGCAGCAGUGGGGAAUUUUGGACAAUGGGCGCAAGCCUGAUCCAGCAAUGCCGCGUGCAGGAUGAAGGCCUUCGGGUUGUAAACUGCUUUUGUACGGAACGAAACGGCGAGCUCUAAUACAGUUUGCUAAUGACGGUACCGUAAGAAUAAGCACCGGCUAACUACGUGCCAGCCGCCGCAGUAA